CCCCUGGUGAUCUUGCAGCUAGGAUUCCUGGUUUUCAUCCAGGCUACACAGGUUCAAAUCCUGGACAGGGAA
Molecule: transfer RNA, 72 nt
Filed under: Bos taurus (domestic cattle)
Lineage: Eukaryota; Metazoa; Chordata; Mammalia; Artiodactyla; Bovidae
Also listed under: 5 other names
Rfam family: tRNA
About the family: Transfer RNA (tRNA) molecules are approximately 80 nucleotides in length. Their secondary structure includes four short double-helical elements and three loops (D, anti-codon, and T loops).
Source: Rfam by way of RNAcentral